Molecule: long non-coding RNA, 2335 nt
Filed under: Mus musculus (house mouse)
Lineage: Eukaryota; Metazoa; Chordata; Mammalia; Rodentia; Muridae
Description: long non-coding RNA chr11:7185053-7187388
Source: RNAcentral
AGACUGGCUGUACUGACCUCUGCUACCCUAGAGGCUAGCAUCCUCAGGAGGGAUAGCAUCCUCAGGAGGGAUAGAGGGGAGAAAUGACCAUGAAAAAAUUCCCCCUGAGGCCCUCAACAGGCUUCCAGUGGUUGGUUAAUAGGUAUGAGGGUUUGGAAUUGGGGUCUGUUGACAGCAACUGGAAACUGGGCAGUUGUUGUUUUAGUGGUCUCAGGCUUACCUCCUGCCUCUGUCUCCCAGAGCUGGGGUUACAGAUGUUUACCACAUCUGGCCUAAAGGUUCUUAAAUGUUCUUAAUGCUCUGUCUACUUUGGCCACUGCUCCUGCCAGGAUGCUUUCUGGUACUCAUCUGACCUUCAGGGCUCUGGUAAAGAGUGUCCCUGGCAUCAAGAGAGGCAGAAGCACCUCAGAUACAGGUCGAGGAUUGUUGUAGAUUAUUAUGCUCUUCCUGUGUGAGGAUGAGCCAUCACUGUCCCAUACUGUGGCUAGGGAAGGGCUUGGGGCAGCUCAGCCUGGCUCUGACCCAGGACAUUCCCAGAUUGUAGCAACAUCCUGCUGUGCUUAGGCACAGGUAAAUUGCAGGAAGGAGCACAAAUGGCCCUUUGGGAGAACCUAUGUAGUGAGGUGACAAAUGGGACAAUUCUUGUCAACAACUUCUCUAUUGACCCUUCAGUGCUAAGGACAGAUGGUACCUGGAUGCCUGUGAGCUAGAGACCUGUGACAAGGAACAGCCAGAGCCUGCACUGAGGACUAGGCUUACAGAGCCCUGGGCUGGGGAGUCAUGGUGUCUAUAGGCAAGAGCAAAUAUACAUUCCUUCUGAGUAGAAAACUGUCUUGAGACAGCCGAGCAUUGGAUGUCAGAAAAGCUGGAAGGCCUUGUGACCUCCGAUGCAGAUGUGGGUAUCCUAUGCACACCUCCAACCCUUGGUGUCAGAGAAACUGAGUAAUGGAAGGUAAAUGUCCCCUGCAGGAGAGCUGGAAGCAUACAGGGGCAUGGAGCUCCCUGGGGACAGGGCUGGGCUGGGAGACAGGAGACCUACCGCAGCUGCCCGCUUCUUUGGGUCUCGUCUCUUUCGACAGGCGAUGUCUGAGAUUCCAGGCAUUCCUGAGUUCUUUGGCCAGCUCGUUGCCUGCAGGGCCUCUGUCUUCUUCUGAUGCUGCUCCUGGUUCAAGGAGGCUGACAUGCAGGGUCCUUCCUCUGCAGCUAAAUGGUCUGAAUGGGGCCCCUCCUGCUCGCUGGAACUCUCUAAAUCCUCAACAGUUGAAAGCCUUUUUCUGAAGGUGGUUGUGGAACUGAACCCUGACAGCUGGGGAGACCCUUUAGAUAUCAAGGACCAGUGGCUUUGGAAGUUUCUUCCGGGGGGCCUUGGGCUCCAGCCCAUAGCCAUCUCCUGUGGAGUGCUAUGAAUGGCAGGUUUCUUCCAGUCUGGCGUCUUUGUCACUAGAGAGGAGCUGAAUUCAGGAAUCUGGAGAUAAACACACAUAUCUUUGUUCUAGACAGUUGCAGCACCCUUCAUGGGAACAUAGUACAUUCUCAUCCAAGCACAACCACUCAGAGACUCGUACCCAGUGACCCUAGAGAUGGGGACACUAAGCACUGAGGGUCUGCACCCAUGGCUGGAGACUCAAACCACAGGCAUGAUGAGACAUGUCUACCCCCAAUCCCCACCAUUGCAUUGAUGGUUAAUGGACAUCUCAGUGAGCAACAGUCAAAGAUGAGUCUCAAAGAUAGGGUUGAAGCACAGAGAACGUUCUAGCAAACUGCCUUCCUGGAGGGGAGGAAGGCAGCUAAAUGUUAUCAGUGAAAUAAUCUUAAUACAGAAAUCCCAGCAUAAAAAGACAACCCUUUGUGGCAAAUUGAUGAACAGGGGAAGGCAGUUGGGUCGGUGGCACUAGCUCAGUGGUUCUCAACCUGUAGGCCACAACCCCUUUGGGGGAGGUAGUAGAAAGACUCUUUCACAGGGGUUACCUAAGACCAUUGGAAAGCACAGAUACUUACAUUACGAUUCAUAACAGUAACAAAAUUACAGUUUUGAAGUAGCAACGAAAAUAACUUUAUGGUGGUGGUGGUGGUGGUGGUGGUGGUGGGAGUCACCAUAACACAAAGAGUUGUAUUAAAGGGUCACAGCAUUAGGGAGGCUGAUUGCUGACUGCUGGAGGUACAUGGGCCACGCUGUAUUUGGUUAUAAUACGUAAACUCCGAAUUUCUCCUCCAGAUUUAACCAAAGAUACUCCUGCAUGCACACCCCUUUCUUAGACACUAAUGAUGGAUGCCCCAGCCUUCGUAUCUGUAUGUCCUACACCAGUGGAUUUAACUUAGUACAGGUAGAAAAUAC